GGGGAAUAUUGCACAAUGGGCGCAAGCCUGAUCCAGCCAUGCCGCGUGUGUGAAGAAGGCCUUAUGGUUGUAAAGCACUUUAAGCGAGGAGGUGGCUCUUUUGGUUAAUACCCAGGAUGAGUGGACGUUACUCGCAGAAUAAGCACCGGCUAACUCUGUGCCAGCAGCCGCGGUAAUACAGAGGGUGCGAGCGUUAAUCGGAUUUACUGGGCGUAAAGCGUACGUAGGCGGCUUUUUAAGUCGGAUGUGAAAUCCCCGAGCUUAACUUGGGAAUUGCAUUCGAUACUGGGAAGCUAGAGUAUGGGAGAGGAUGGUAGAAUUCCAGGUGUAGCGGUGAAAUGCGUAGAGAUCUGGAGGAAUACCGAUGGCGAAGGCAGCCAUCUGGCCUAAUACUGACGCUGAGGUACGAAAGCAUGGGGAGCAAAC
Molecule: ribosomal RNA, 426 nt
Filed under: uncultured bacterium
Lineage: Bacteria
Description: bacterial SSU rRNA
Rfam family: Bacterial small subunit ribosomal RNA
Source: RNAcentral